AAAAGAGUAGUAUUCGACUUGUUUUGUUUAACUGAGAGGCAGAGUGUAACCAAGAUUCUCCGACAUCAAGCAACUUUUGCAUCCAACUCUGUCACGGAUUCUAUAUACUGGAUGGAAAAUCGGGCCUCUGAUUAAAAGCGGGAACAUAAUUUUCUAUGUUCUGGAAUCUGCGGUCUUUUUGAUUAAUAGUUGAGUCUCAGGUGUUCGACGAAAUGUCAAACCGAGUUUGCAUAAAAAGAGGGUUGUUGACACUAAUGGGUGUGAAGUUUAUGGGCAGACUGGAACACCCAACUCGUUUUUCCAUGUGUGUUCGAUCCAAAACAACGUCUGCUCAGUAUGUAGCAUCGAGAUUUCGAGACCCCACGUUUGAGAAACUCAUGGACAACUACAAGAACCUUGUUAAGGUCAUUUCCAUUCAAGACCUCAUCCUUGCAAACCCAAAGAACCCAUCAGUCUCCAUUGAUUUCCUCUCCAAGCUCUCCCAGAAGCUCCACUUAAACCGCGGGGCCACUGCCUUCCUCUGCAAGUUUCCUCACAUCUUCCACAUUUACUAUGAUCAUUCCAAGUUGAAGCCCUUUUGCAGGUUAACUGACGCUGCUCUUGGUGUUACACGGCAGGAAGCGGUGGCCAUCAAUGCUUCUUUGCCUGUUGUUGUUGAAAGACUUGUCCGGAUACUCUCCAUGUCAGCAUCCAGAAUGGUGCCUCUUAGAGCUGUUUUUAAGGUUUGGAAGGAGCUUGGGCUGCCUGAUGAUUUCGAGGACUCUGUUAUAUCUGCUAAUUCUGGUGUUUUUCAGCUGUGUGAUGGGCAUGAACAGAAUACUCAUUUGUUGAAGCUGGUUGAUGGUGUUUCCAGCAAUGGCAUUAGGGCGGCUGUUGAGGAUUGGAGGGUUGUUGAGUGCUGCAAGGAAGACUGCAGUGUUGAUAGGAUGGAAAUGCAGUUUAGUUUCAAACACGGGUAUCCUCCGGGGAUGAGGUUGAGCAAGAAUUUCAAGGCCAAGGUGAAGGAGUGGCAGAGGUUGCCUUAUGUGGGGCCUUAUGAAGUGCCAGGUGAGAAGAAGAAGUCUAAGGCUGGAAUGAUGGCUAUGGAGAAGCGAGCAGUAUCGAUUGUUCACGAGUUCCUGAGUUUGACAGUAGAGAAGAUGGUGGAAGUUGAGAAGAUCAGCCAGUUUAGGAAAUGGUUUGGGAUUGAUUUAAAUAUAAGGGAUCUCUUCUUGGACCACCCAGGGAUCUUCUAUUUGUCAACUAAGGGUAAAAAACAUACUGUUUUCCUGAGGGAAGCUUAUGAACGAGGGUGUUUGAUAGAACCAAAUCCUGUCUAUGAUGCAAGAAGACGGCUACUUGAUCUUGUUGUUCUAGAACGUCGGGGUCUGCCAGCUGUUAAUUCGAAGUUGGAGGAUUCAAGCAGCUGCGGUGAGGCUAGACAAGAGGAAAACCAGCAAAGACAUUAUUUGUCACCAUCUUGAUUAAGCUGUCCAUGCAAGAUUAGCAUUUUGUAAACAGGGAACUAGCUUACGAGAUUACAAAACAUUAAUUUCUGUUCCCACUUUGAGGAUGAACAGGGCCAAUGGUGAAUUCAUUAAAUUAUUUGGUUUCAAUGGUGCCUACAUAGUUUAGGCCCCGAGGAUAGUGGUAGCUGGUUGGAAUGAUUGACUUUUGAUAUUGGCUCAUUUCUAUUUGUGCUCAUCUCUGUGGCUGAAGGUUCAUAUUCUCAUUGAGAUCAAGCGCCUUGGAAACUUUUGGAGAAACAAGCAUCUAAGGAAGAACACGCAAUACCGCUACCAUUCUGGCCCAAUACAGUUCGUUCAUUUAUGUUCUGCUGAUAUAAUUCUUCAAAGUUGAGUUUGUGUAGUUUUUGCAUGUUUGGUGUUAGUAACUUCUUUUAAAUCAAAGUAGCUUUUGGAAUCGGAGAUUAUAGAAUAAUCGAUCUUCCUUCAAGUGAGUUUAAGUCAGAAGUCAGAACUUGUUUUCUAAGUCCCAUUUUUUAAUGAAAGAACAGUCCAAUUUAAGUCGAUGGAAGCUGAAUAAAUAUUGCUGAAAAAGGCUCACCGGGAUGCCUGGCGCAUCUUGAAAUUACAUGCUGCAGUAACCAAUUUAAAUUAGCACAGUUUAAAGACAUCC
Vigna angularis (adzuki bean) is the source of this 2118-nucleotide RNA transcript. It is a transcript of the gene named protein ROOT PRIMORDIUM DEFECTIVE 1, with no coding region annotated. Lineage: Eukaryota; Viridiplantae; Streptophyta; Magnoliopsida; Fabales; Fabaceae. The transcript is spliced from 3 exons. The record is from RefSeq and is a predicted model, not a curated record.